RNAcentral lists this ribosomal RNA (161 nucleotides) under Myriophyllum pinnatum. RNAcentral's name for it is "5.8S ribosomal RNA". It matches the Rfam family "5.8S ribosomal RNA". From Rfam's summary of the family: 5.8S ribosomal RNA (5.8S rRNA) is a component of the large subunit of the eukaryotic ribosome. Lineage: Eukaryota; Viridiplantae; Streptophyta; Magnoliopsida; Saxifragales; Haloragaceae. The record is from RNAcentral.
GACUCUCGGCAACGGAUAUCUCGGCUCUUGCAUCGAUGAAGAACGUAGCGAAAUGCGAUACUUGGUGUGAAUUGCAGAAUCCCGUGAACCAUCGAGUUUUUGAACGCAAGUUGCGCCCGAAGCCACUCGGCCGAGGGCACGUCUGCCUGGGCGUCACGUAU